GACGAACGCUGGCGGCGUGCUUAACACAUGCAAGUCGAACGGAAAGGCCCUGCUUUUGUGGUGUGCUCGAGUGGCGAACGGGUGAGUAACACGUGAGUAACCUGCCCUUGACUUUGGGAUAACUUCAGGAAACUGGGGCUAAUACCGGAUAGGAGCUCCUGCUGCAUGGUGGGGGUUGGAAAUUUUCGGCGGGUGGGGAUGGACGCGCGGCUUAUCAGCUUGUUGGUGGGGUAGCGGCUUACCAAGGCUUUGACGGGUAGCCGGCCUGAGAGGGUGACCGGCCACAUUGGGACUGAGAUACGGCCCAGACGGCUACGGGAGGCAGCAGUGGGGAAUAUUGCACAAUGGGCGGAAGCCUGAUGCAGCAACGCCGCGUGCGGGAUGACGGCCUUCGGGUUGUAAACCGCUUUCGCCUGUGACGAAGCGUGAGUGACGGUAAUGGGUAAAGAAGCACCGGCUAACUACGUG
RNAcentral lists this ribosomal RNA (468 nucleotides) under uncultured bacterium. Its description in RNAcentral is "partial 16S ribosomal RNA". It matches the Rfam family "Bacterial small subunit ribosomal RNA", at positions 28 to 507 of the family's 1533-position model. The record is from RNAcentral.